AUCUUCCCCAGACACACGCACAACAUCAUCCACAGAGGUGCAGAGGGGGAAACAAAGAAAAGAGGUUUCAACAAGUUGGGAGAUUAGGGGCUGGUUAUCAAAGUAGAUUUAUUGUGCCUUGUUUCAAGCUAAGGAUGAAAAUACCCCGUGGGCAUGCAGAAGGGGGUCAUGGGACUCCCAAAAGGAUUACCUUGAACUGGAGUCAUGGGACUCAGGCGAACAAAGACCUUGCUCACAUGCUCAUCAUAUUAGCCGGCCCUCAUAAAGUGAAGACGUUUCAUGACCUGUGGGAUUCAAUAGUAGAGCUUGACUGGGAGAGCAGCAUGAGAGGACGGCUCAGCUGAAGGAGCGACAGACUUCGCUUAACUUUUCAAACCCUAAUGUGUUGCAUUACCAAAGGGCAGGACUGAUGCUCCAACAGAGGACCAUGUGCACAGAAAGCUUGGAUCGAGAGGACAUUUCUGAAAAGGGAAUGUGUUCACAUAUUUCCCAGUAAGGAUCCAACCAGAUGUGCCUGUGGUCAGCUGGUCACGCAGCACGUGGCCAUCCCCCCUGGCGCCAAUUCCUUAGCAG
Girardinichthys multiradiatus is the source of this 573-nucleotide long non-coding RNA. RefSeq lists it as uncharacterized. The record is from RefSeq and is a predicted model, not a curated record. The transcript has 3 exons. Lineage: Eukaryota; Metazoa; Chordata; Actinopteri; Cyprinodontiformes; Goodeidae.